UACGUAGGGUGCAAGCGUUGUCCGGAAUUAUUGGGCGUAAAGAGCUCGUAGGCGGUCUGUCGCGUCGGCUGUGAAAACUCGGGGCUCAACUCCGAGCUUGCAGUCGAUACGGGCAGGCUAGAGUUCGGCAGGGGAGACUGGAAUUCCUGGUGUAGCGGUGAAAUGCGCAGAUAUCAGGAGGAACACCGGUGGCGAAGGCGGGUCUCUAGUACGGUACUGACGCUGAGACGCGAAAGCGUGGGGAGCGAACAGG
This 253-nucleotide ribosomal RNA is filed under the name uncultured bacterium. Its description in RNAcentral is "partial 16S ribosomal RNA". It matches the Rfam family "Bacterial small subunit ribosomal RNA", at positions 524 to 776 of the family's 1533-position model. The record is from RNAcentral.